Long non-coding RNA from Gavialis gangeticus (Gharial), 175 nucleotides. RefSeq lists it as uncharacterized. The record is from RefSeq and is a predicted model, not a curated record. Lineage: Eukaryota; Metazoa; Chordata; Crocodylia; Gavialidae. The transcript is spliced from 3 exons.
ACAUCCACACACAGAAGAACGUGCUGAUUGAAGUAAACCCUCAGACAAGGAUUCCCCGCACAUUUGACCGUUUUUGUGGUCUGAUGGUUGCUGCAUAAACUCAGUGUCCGAUCAGCUGAUGGACCGCAGAAACUUUUGAAGGUAAUUAAAAAUCCAGUGACUGAUCAUCUUCCUG